GUCUUUUUGUUAUAUAUUUAAAGUCUGGCCUGCCCACUGAAAAAUUGAAUGGCCGCGGUAUUUUGACCGUGCUAAGGUAGCAUAAUCAUUAGUUUUUUAAUUGAAAGCUGGAAUGAAGGGUUGGAUGAGAAAAAGACUGUCUCUAUUUAAAAUAUAGAAUUUUAUUUUUAAGUUAAAAAGCUUAAAUGUAGUUAAAAGACGAGAAGACCCUAUAGAGUUUUAUAAAAAUUAUUUUUUUUAUAUAUUUAGGAUUUUUUGUAUAAAAAAAUAAAUUUAUUUAAUUGGGGUGAUUGAAAAAUUUAAAUAACUUUUUUUUUAUUAGUAUAUUUUUAAAUAAAUAUUUGAUCCAUAUUUUUGAUGAUUAUAAGAAUAAAUUACCUUAGGGAUAACAGCGUAAUUUUAUUGGAGAGUUCUUAUCGAUAAUAAAGAUUGCGACCUCGAUGUUGGAUUAAAAUUUAAUAUAGGUGUAGAAGCUUAUAAGUUAAGUCUGUUCGACUUUUAAAAUUUUACA
RNAcentral lists this ribosomal RNA (511 nucleotides) under Sphenoraia bicolor. RNAcentral's name for it is "partial 16S ribosomal RNA". The stretch from base 385 to 511 matches the Rfam family "Bacterial large subunit ribosomal RNA", at positions 2473 to 2600 of the family's 2925-position model. The record is from RNAcentral. Lineage: Eukaryota; Metazoa; Arthropoda; Insecta; Coleoptera; Chrysomelidae.